CCAAUACCACUAAUUGUUUGUGGCACCGUAUAGUUAUGGGCUCAUUUUUGUAAUAACGCUAAGACAAGACUUAAGCCCAGAAUGAGUAACACUUGACUAUAUGGGCUUAAUUAACUCAAACUAAAAUAAAACAAUCCAAAAUAUUUAAAACAACUCAACUAGUCCAGCCCAUACAUGAUAGCAAUAGUUACCCGUUGAUUAAGAUCGUUCCUUGAUGAUCUAGUUCAGCUAAUCUUCAAUCUUGGA
RNAcentral lists this long non-coding RNA (246 nucleotides) under Carica papaya (papaya). RNAcentral's name for it is "long non-coding RNA (CPAP_LNC004443)". Lineage: Eukaryota; Viridiplantae; Streptophyta; Magnoliopsida; Brassicales; Caricaceae. The record is from RNAcentral.